RNAcentral lists this transfer RNA (72 nucleotides) under Phrynosoma platyrhinos (Desert horned lizard). Its description in RNAcentral is "tRNA-OTHER". The record is from RNAcentral. Lineage: Eukaryota; Metazoa; Chordata; Lepidosauria; Squamata; Phrynosomatidae.
GUCUAUGUGGCAUAAUGGUUUGAGUGUUGGACUAUGACUCUGGAGACCAGGAUUCGAUUCCCUGCUCGGCCA